UAUGCGAAAAACAAAGCUUAGCUAGCAGUAUCCUGAGUAGGGCGGGACACGAGGAAUCCUGUCUGAAUCCGGGUCGACCACGAUCCAACCCUAAAUACUAAUACCAGAUCGAUAGUGCACAAGUACCGUGAGGGAAAGGUGAAAAGAACUGAGGUGAUCAGAGUGAAAUAGAACCUGAAACCAUUUGCUUACAAUCAUUCAGAGCCCUAUGUAGGAAUACAGGGUGAUGGACUGCCUUUUGCAUAAUGAGCCUGCGAGUUGUGGUGUCUGGCAAGGUUAAGCAAACGCGAAGCCGUAGCGAAAGCGAGUCUGAAUAGGGCGCUUAGUCAGAUGCUGCAGACCCGAAACGAAGUGAUCUAUCCAUGAGCAAGUUGAAGCUAGUGUAAGAACUAGUGGAGGACUGAACCCAUAGGCGUUGAAAAGCCCCGGGAUGACUUGUGGAUAGGGGUGAAAGGCCAAUCAAACUUCGUGAUAGCUGGUUCUCUCCGAAAUAUAUUUAGGUAUAGCGUUGUGUCGUAAUAUAAGGGGGUAGAGCACUGAAUGGGCUAGGGCAUACACCAAUGUACCAAACCCUAUCAAACUCCGAAUACCUUAUAUGUAAUCACAGCAGUCAGGCGGCGAGUGAUAAAAUCCGUCGUCAAGAGGGAAACAACCCAGACUACCAGCUAAGGUCCCUAAAUCUUACUUAAGUGGAAAACGAUGUGAAGUUACUUAAACAACCAGGAGGUUGGCUUAGAAGCAGCCAUCCUUUAAAGAAAGCGUAAUAGCUCACUGGUCUAGUGAUUUUGCGCGGAAAAUAUAACGGGGCUAAAGUAAGUACCGAAGCUGUAGACUUAGUUUACUAAGUGGUAGGAGAGCGUUCUAUUUGCGUCGAAGGUAUACCGGUAAGGAGUGCUGGAGCGAAUAGAAGUGAGCAUGCAGGCAUGAGUAGCGAUAAUUAAUGUGAGAAUCAUUAACGCCGUAAACCCAAGGUUUCCUACGCGAUGCUCGUCAUCGUAGGGUUAGUCGGGUCCUAAGUCGAGUCCGAAAGGGGUAGACGAUGGCAAAUUGGUUAAUAUUCCAAUACCAACAUUAGUGUGCGAUGGAAGGACGCUUAGGGCUA
This 1102-nucleotide ribosomal RNA is filed under the name Campylobacter jejuni. RNAcentral describes it as "partial 23S ribosomal RNA". It matches the Rfam family "Bacterial large subunit ribosomal RNA", at positions 376 to 1484 of the family's 2925-position model. The record is from RNAcentral. Lineage: Bacteria; Pseudomonadati; Campylobacterota; Epsilonproteobacteria; Campylobacterales; Campylobacteraceae.